Molecule: ribosomal RNA, 791 nt
Filed under: Xanthoparmelia sp.
Lineage: Eukaryota; Fungi; Ascomycota; Lecanoromycetes; Lecanorales; Parmeliaceae
Description: SSU rRNA
Rfam family: Bacterial small subunit ribosomal RNA
Source: RNAcentral
UAGCAUAGCUACUUGCAUCAUAGUAGAUAUGAUGCAAGAUCGACUAUGUUGAAUAAAAUUCUAGGUAGAAUUAUGAUAAUGACAUUGUCUGCCUAUGUGUCUUGACMAAUUACGUGCCWGCWGUCGCGGUAAUACGUAGAAGACUAGUGUUAUUCAUGUUUAAUCGGUUUAAAGGGUACCUAGACGGUAGAUCAAGCUUUCUAAUAAAGGAAAAGGACUAAUUUACUAGAGUUACUUAUGAGGGGGUAUUAAAGUACUGCUGGUGUAGAGAUGAAAUUCUGUCAUACCUCUUUUCAAAAGAAAAACCAUGGCACAGGUAUAGGCGAAGGCAUCCCCUUAUGUGAUAACUGACGUUGAGGGACGAAGGCUUUGUGUAGCGAACAGGAUUAGAUACCCCAGUAGUCGAAGCAGAAAAUGAUGAAUGUCAUAGAUUAGAUAUAUAAGUUUAUUCUAUAAAUGAAAGUGUAAGCAUUCCACCUCAUGAGUAAUUUGGCAACAUUGGAACUGAAAUCAUUAGACCGUUUCUGAAACCAGUAGUGAAGUAUGUUGUUUAAUUUGAUGAUCCGCAAAAAACCUUACCACAAUUUGAAUAUUUAUAUUAUUUAUUGUUUUAUUAUUAAUUUUCUUAUAGUAAGAAUAUUAAUAAAGAGGCAAUAAGAUAUAUUUACAAGCGUUGCACGGCUGUCUUCAGUUAAUGUCGCGAGACUUUGGUUAGUUCCAUUAAAUUAACGUAAACCCUUACUUUAUUUUUAUAUAGAGUAGUUCCCCGCUAUAUUGGAUAUGAUAACAGG